GAGGUUUUUGUCACUUGCCUGGAAAGCCUUGACCGAAGCGCGAGCUGCAUCUACUGACCAAAGAUCCUACAGGAUAUUUGCUACCGACCACACACACACACACACACA
Long non-coding RNA from Amblyraja radiata (thorny skate), 108 nucleotides. RefSeq lists it as uncharacterized. Lineage: Eukaryota; Metazoa; Chordata; Chondrichthyes; Rajiformes; Rajidae. The record is from RefSeq and is a predicted model, not a curated record. The transcript has 3 exons.